Molecule: ribosomal RNA, 468 nt
Filed under: uncultured bacterium
Lineage: Bacteria
Description: partial 16S ribosomal RNA
Rfam family: Bacterial small subunit ribosomal RNA
Source: RNAcentral
GACGAACGCUGGCGGCGUGCUUAACACAUGCAAGUCGAACGGAAAGGCCCUGCUUUUGUGGGGUGCUCGAGUGGCGAACGGGUGAGUAACACGUGAGUAACCUGCCCUUGACUUUGGGAUAACUUCUGGAAACUGGGGCUAAUACCGGAUAGGAGCUCCUGCUGCAUGGUGGGGGUUGGAAAGUUUCGGCGGUUUGGGAUGGUCGGGCGGCUUAUGAGCUUGUUAGUGGGGUAGUGGCUUACCAAGGCUUUGACGGGUAGCCGGCCUGGGAGGGUGACCGGCGGCAAUGGGACUGCGGGAGGGAGCAGACGGCUACCGUAGGCAACAGGCGGGAGUCUGGCGGAGUGGGGGGGAGUCUGAGGCGGCGGUCUCGGGUGCGGGAUACCGGGCUUCGGGGUGAAAACCACUUUCGCCGGAAACGAGCCCGGCGUGACGGUACUUGGUCAAGAAGCCACGGCUAACUACGUG